This 119-nucleotide non-coding RNA is filed under the name Acetoanaerobium sticklandii. Its description in RNAcentral is "Clostridium sticklandii FMN sequence". It matches the Rfam family "FMN riboswitch aptamer (RFN element)". Rfam says of the family: The RFN element is a highly conserved domain that is found frequently in the 5'-untranslated regions of prokaryotic mRNAs that encode for flavin mononucleotide (FMN) biosynthesis and transport proteins. This element is a metabolite-dependent riboswitch that directly binds FMN in the absence of proteins. Lineage: Bacteria; Bacillati; Bacillota; Clostridia; Peptostreptococcales; Filifactoraceae. The record is from RNAcentral. RNAcentral also lists the same sequence under 1 other name.
UAUAUUCUUCAGGGCAGGGUGAAAUUCCCGACCGGCGGUAAAAGUCCGCGAACUGCGAAAGUGGUUGACUUGGUGAAAUUCCAAGACCGACAGUAAAGUCUGGAUGGGAGAAGAUGAUU